CCUACGGGAGGCAGCAGUGAGGAAUAUUGGUCAAUGGGCGAGAGCCUGAACCAGCCAAGUCGCGUGAAGGAUGAAGGAUCUAUGGUUUGUAAACUUCUUUUAUAUGGGAAUAAAGUGAGGAUCGUGUUCCUUUUUGUAUGUACCAUAUGAAUAAGCAUCGGCUAACUCCGUGCCAGCAGCCGCGGUAAUACGGAGGAUGCGAGCGUUAUCCGGAUUUAUUGGGUUUAAAGGGUGCGUAGGUGGUUAAUUAAGUCAGCGGUGAAAGUUUGUGGCUCAAACAUAAAAUUGCCGUUGAAACUGGUUGACUUGAGUAUAUUUGAGGUAGGCGGAAUGCGUGGUGUAGCGGUGAAAUGCUUAGAUAUCACGAAGAACUCCGAUUGCGAAGGCAGCCUGCUGGACUGUAACUGACGCUGAUGCUCGAAAGUGUGGGUAUCAAACAGGAUUAGAUACCCCAGUAGUC
This 460-nucleotide ribosomal RNA is filed under the name uncultured bacterium. RNAcentral's name for it is "partial 16S ribosomal RNA". It matches the Rfam family "Bacterial small subunit ribosomal RNA", at positions 338 to 795 of the family's 1533-position model. The record is from RNAcentral.